CCCGCUGAACUUAAGCAUAUCAAUAAGCGGAGGAAAAGAAACCAACAGGGAUUGCCUCAGUAACGGCGAGUGAAGCGGCGACAGCUCAAAUUUGAAAUCUGGCCUCUUUGGGGUCCGAGUUGUAAUUUGUAGAGGAUGUUUUGGGUACCGCCCCGGUCUAAAUUUCUUGGAACAGAAUGUCAAAGAGGGUGAGAAUCCCGUCUUGGACCGGCGGUAGGGCCUGUGUAAAACUCCUUCGACGAGUCGAGUUGUUUGGGAAUGCAGCUCAAAAUGGGUGGUAAAUUUCAUCUAAAGCUAAAUAUUGGCCAGAGACCGAUAGCGCACAAGUAGAGUGAUCGAAAGAUGAAAAGCACUUUGAAAAGAGAGUUAAACAGUAUGUGAAAUUGUUGAAAGGGAAGCGCUUGCAACCAGACUUGAGCGCGGCGGUUCCCCCGGUCUUUUGGCCGGUCUACUCCGUCGUGUCCAGGCCAACAUCGGUUCUGAGGGUCGGUCAAAGGCCUUGGGAAUGUAUCUACCCAUCGGGUAGACUUAUAGACCAGGGUGUCAUGCGGCCUCUCGGGACGCAGAGGAACGCGACUUCGGCUCGGAUGUUGGCGUAAUGGUUGUCAGCGACCCGUCUUGAAACACGG
Molecule: ribosomal RNA, 629 nt
Filed under: uncultured fungus
Lineage: Eukaryota; Fungi
Description: eukaryotic LSU rRNA
Rfam family: Eukaryotic large subunit ribosomal RNA
Source: RNAcentral